This 404-nucleotide ribosomal RNA is filed under the name uncultured bacterium. Its description in RNAcentral is "bacterial SSU rRNA". It matches the Rfam family "Bacterial small subunit ribosomal RNA", at positions 355 to 776 of the family's 1533-position model. The record is from RNAcentral.
UAGGGAAUCGUCGGCAAUGAGCGAAAGCUUGACCGCGCGACGCCGCGUGAAGGAAGAAGGCCUUCGGGUUGUAAACUUCUUUUAUAGGGGAUGAUUAUGACAGUACCCUAAGAAUAAGGGCCUGCUAACUACGUGCCAGCAGCAGCGGUAAUACGUAGGGCCCGAGCAUUAUCCGGAAUUAUUGGGCGUAAAGAGCGUGUAGGUGUUCCUACAAGUCGGUCGUUAAAUCUCAGAGCUCAACUCUGAGACCGCGAGCGAAACUGUAGGAAUUGAGGUUUGCAGGGGCUAGCAGAAUUCCAGGAGUAGGGGUGAAAUCCGUUGAUACCUGGAGGAAUACCAAUGGCGAAGGCAGCUAGCUGGGCAAUACCUGACACUGAGACGCGAAAGCGUGGGGAGCAAACGGG